This is a long non-coding RNA of Pseudopipra pipra, 375 nucleotides long. RefSeq lists it as uncharacterized. Lineage: Eukaryota; Metazoa; Chordata; Aves; Passeriformes; Pipridae. The transcript has 2 exons. The record is from RefSeq and is a predicted model, not a curated record.
CUGGGAGUUCCCAGGAGCCCCAGGGAGAGCCCUCCUGCCUCAGGCAGUGACCCUGCAUUCCAGGUUGUCCCGCUCAAACCCUUGGGAUUCCUAAGGUGGUUUAUUUCAAUGUCAGGAGCCUCCAUGACACGAGGGCAGUGAUCAUCCCCCUGGGCCAGGCACGGUGAGGUCGGACCUCAAAUCUUGGGGUCAGUUUUGGGCCCCACACGACAAUAAAGACACUGAGGUGCUGGAGUAUGUCUGGAGAAGGGCAAUGGAGCUGAAGAAGGGUUUUGUGCUUUAACCCCACCUGCCAAUUCAGUAAGGAAAAAAGAAAGGGAGAAAGAAACUCAUAAGGUGAGACAAUUUAGUAACUAGAAAAAAAUUCUGAAAAUA